RNAcentral lists this ribosomal RNA (217 nucleotides) under uncultured bacterium. Its description in RNAcentral is "partial 16S ribosomal RNA". It matches the Rfam family "Bacterial small subunit ribosomal RNA", at positions 1286 to 1500 of the family's 1533-position model. The record is from RNAcentral.
UCUCAGUUCGGAUUGUAGGCUGAAACUCGCCUACAUGAAGCUGGAGUUACUAGUAAUCGCAGAUCAGAAUGCUGCGGUGAAUGCGUUCCCGGGUCUUGUACACACCGCCCGUCACACCACGGAAGUUGGGGGCGCCCGAAGCCACUUAGCUAACCCAUUUGGGAAGCGAGUGUCGAAGGUGAAAUCAAUAACUGGGGUGAAGUCGUAACAAGGUAAC